Long non-coding RNA from Leopardus geoffroyi (Geoffroy's cat), 3309 nucleotides. RefSeq lists it as uncharacterized. The transcript has 2 exons. Lineage: Eukaryota; Metazoa; Chordata; Mammalia; Carnivora; Felidae. The record is from RefSeq and is a predicted model, not a curated record.
UUUGUCUUAGAGUAUUACACAGUGUGUGGCUAUCUGCUUAAAGUAAUACAAUUGGGAUGAGGGCCUUUUCUAGGAGGUAAUAAGGUGGCUGUGAGCUCCAGCUCAGAGGCGGGCCCCUGCCACCUGCACGAGAAAUUUCCCCAGGCCACUUGUGAGGAUCGAGCCUCGAGCAGGAGCGUGUGUGGCCAGGUCCUGGUGAUAACGGGAGAGUCCCUGGCAGGGGUAGGGGGACGGGUACCCUCAGCAGCAUCAACAAAUGUGUUAGAAUAUUCAGAGCUACUCAUAAUUCACUUUUGCCGGGUCGAUGGAGAAGAGCAAACUCAAAGGGUCUGAGUUCUCAGCCACGCGGCAAAUCAGAGGCACACUCGGAACUCCUAGGAGUGUUCCAUCACCGGCUCACGAGGUGUCUCACAUGCUCAGCAAGUGGUAUUUUCCCACGAACUCUGCUGAUCCUCACUCAGAGGCUCUACAGUUGGCCCCGUCUUUGAGUCAGAACCAGCCCUUCGCUCUUCCCGGUAACUCCGAAUCGUGAGCACAUUCUCUGGAAUGGACUGUGCUGGCCCCAAAGCUUGUGUCUCGGGUUUUAGUGAGCGCACAGUAGUGGACAGCUCAACAGCAUUAUUGCCCUGGGAGGUGCCAGGACCAAUGUCCUUUAAAACCUGUGCUACAAUUUGGUUUCCUAAUCAGUCCUUGGGGAAAUUGAUUAAGGGUGGACGAUCGUGCAAGCCAUUUGCAACUUGGGGGAUUCCACGUCUUUUGGUUCUUGAAGAAAAUGAUAGUUUUAAGAAGGGUCAGAGGAAUGAAAACAUUAAUCUUGAAAUAUGUUCAACUAUGAAUAAGGUUGAAAGCAUUUUACUACGGCCGCGUCCUCAGAGGAUGGGAAAUGUCCCUGGGAAUAGGCUUUUCUCGAAACUUGUUAGACGUCAAUGCCCAGUCUGUGACACCGUGGAAAUGCCUCUGAGUGUCAGAGUCUGGAGGAUAGGAAUGAUGUCUAGUCAUGACUUAACCCUUUUAGCACCUAGGCCAGUGUUUUCAGUGUUUUGCCCCAGCAGGACUUUAGCAGUUGAUAGCGAUAUUAAAUUUAAAAAAUCUUUUAUAGUUUCCUCAGAGACAGAGUUAAUAAAAUUAUCCUGAGGAGUCCUUAGAAGGGGACGUACGUCUGAGUUACAUUUUUACAACACAUUAGUUUGAACAAACUAUUUUGAAAAUAAAGUGUAGUUCAGAUAUAUUUCUGAGUGACAUGGUUUUCUGAGCUUCAGAAACUAAAGGUUACCUUCCAUUUUAUACUCAUGGCGGUUAUCAAGGGAAACCACUAAAAUGUCUGUGAGCUUAGCAUUCGUUCGUUCAUCCAUCCCAGCACGUAUGGACCACUGCCAAAUACAGAUGUAUGCGUGCAACGAUCCAAAAAUAGGGAUAGGUAUGCAUGAGGAUGGCCCAGUUUAACCACCCAUUCAUCCCAUGUCACACGUCUAUUUGGGGGGCUGACAACAAGACUGAGGACCCUUAUCACCGAAGGAAAAUAGGAGAUCAACAGGGACAGAAGGCAAUAAAGGACCUUGGUAACAUUUUGGUCUUUACUUUCAUGUGCCUCUCGUAAUAUUCUUCCUUGUAGUGCUGGUCGCCCUGUAUGUCUAACUGCUUUAUCUGCUUAACGAGAUUAUUUGGCUCUUGGAGGGCGGGAAGAAAAUUGGGUAUUAUGUUUGUAUCUCCUCCCCCAGCCCCUCCGCAAGUCUUUCCAUAAUGGGCAUUUGUUGGGCUGGUAGAUGAGGCAGGAUAAGAUCAGACCAUCAAGAAAGAGUCUUUAUGAGGCCAACACUACCCUAAGCCACCGCAGCACACAACUACAGAAACAGGAAGACACAAAAACACUGGUAUUCAAUCCGAGCACGCCCUGUGUUGUUACGGAGCACAUGGCAACGCUCAAACAUGUUUGUCACAUGAGGCAGUGUGGCACAGUUGUUAAGGAGCCAGAUUCACUAGGCCCAAACCUCUCAGCUCCAGGACCUUUGGCAAGAUAUUUAACGUGGCCGUGAGAUGGGCGUAACGGUAACGAAUACCUGCGUGGAGCCAAGCACUAUGUAAGCGUACCCUAACAAAUAACUCGCUGACAAUGAUGACUUCAGACUAGACCAUACGUUGUCAGUGAUGGUGAAUUUGCCCCCAAGAGGGUGCAAGUUGAGUUUCGGUGCGGAGAGGGGAUGACGACGACGACGAACACAGGGGUUUGUGGGUCUCCAAAGGGGCACAGUGCUUACACAGGUGUAAUCUAUAUCCACAUUCCCUACAAUUUGAUGGGGGUGGGAGCAAUUAGCAAUAAAUGUCUAAAAGGCUCGUUGGGGACCAAUAAUGAAAGAAAGUCUGAGAAACAGUACUGGAGGAAUAAAGUUUCAGGUCAGUCCUAUUAUCGUUAAUCGUAUAUCAAACAUUUACCCUAACUUUAUUUCUUUAAUCCGCCUGGUAUGUUUUGAUUACGUGAACCCAAAUAUGUUUUACUUCCGCUGGCCAUCUGGUGUGGCAUUCUACCGUCUGAUUACACCCUCGUCAUAUCACAUUUCAAUAUUGUUGGUCUGUGAUUUAGAUACUUUAUUACAAGCCACUUCACAGAUGGGAACACUAAGGCCAAAGAGAUUAAGUGGUUUGCCUAAAGGUCACGCAACUUUAGAGGGUAGGCUCCCUAAGAAGGGGCUGUUUUCAACUCUAAUGCUAUACCGCCAAAAAUAAAUGCCUCUAACCUCUCAGAAGGAAAAGGUUUUUUGGGUUAGGUGGGUUCGGACAUGUUCAAGCUAAAAAACGCAUUGCCCUAUAGGCUAUCAGGACACUGAUUGCAACUGCCCUCUGGAUGGUUGGUGCCACUGUUCUCUGUUUUACAUGUAAAGCACCCAAACAGUCUAAUCUCUAGAACAGAUGAUUGCAAUCUGUAAACUAGGAGGGGUGAGCAGAUGGUCACGUGCUGCUCGCUGCUGUGAGUGUCCGAACUCAGCAUGAGGACGUGCCCAGCCCUUUCAGAACAUUCGCAUCCGUGUUACUGUGUUUUCGGUUGUGCACAGGCCGAGUGAUGGAUGGGCUGUGUGGGCGCGGCUGUGCGCAAACGCAUUUCAUCUCCCCGAAGCACAGGUCUCUAAAGCAGUGUUGAACUUAAGCAAAACGGUCCGCCGGGGCACCGACUGCGACAUCACCAGGUCCGUAGCGAUGCCUAACCUCCACGUUGGAGUAACACAUCCCAGUUCUCAAAAGGGUUCCAAGUGCAUGGUCUCGUUUGAUCUUCGUGCAAUUUUGUGUAGGCCAGAGGACAGUCAGGCCUUUCGAUUU